GGAAUAUUGGUCAAUGGGCGCAAGCCUGAACCAGCCAUGCCGCGUGCAGGAUGACGGUCCUAUGGAUUGUAAACUGCUUUUGUACGGGAAGAAACACUCCCUCGUGAGGGAGCUUGACGGUACCGUAAGAAUAAGGAUCGGCUAACUCCGUGCCAGCAGCCGCGGUAAUACGGAGGAUCCAAGCGUUAUCCGGAAUCAUUGGGUUUAAAGGGUCCGUAGGCUGUCUGGUAAGUCAGUGGUGAAAGCCCAUCGCUCAACGGUGGAACGGCCAUUGAUACUGCCAGACUUGAAUUUCCAGGAAGCAACUAGAAUAUGUAGUGUAGCGGUGAAAUGCUUAGAUAUUACAUGGAAUACCAAUUGCGAAGGCAGGUUGCUACUGGUGGAUUGACGCUGAUGGACGAAAGCGUGGGUAGCGAAC
Molecule: ribosomal RNA, 418 nt
Filed under: uncultured bacterium
Lineage: Bacteria
Description: bacterial SSU rRNA
Rfam family: Bacterial small subunit ribosomal RNA
Source: RNAcentral